AUUUUCUUUACGGCGUCGUGUAAUAUCAAGCACCCGUAGUAUCUGUAGAACCCGGAAGAAGUUUAUGUGAGCGUUCACAUGGAGGCCGGUCUUUGUACGCGUCAGCUUUUAAUCUCGAUUUAAGUGGGAUAUCACGUUAGCGCGAGGGGCGCAAAACGAGAAUGGCAGCGGGGCCAAUUGAAAGACGCGUGCGUGAAUGCGUCCUUCUUCCGUGUAGCUACACCCUUGAGAGAGUGCCGUCUGACGCGCAAAUGCGUAAAUAUUAUCAGAGCACCGGUGAAAAGAAAGAAAAGAAGGCAACAGGUAGCCGAACAUCACGCUUGGGCACUUGCAAUUUCAUUUAAUAAUGAUGUCAUCUACGACAUUGACAUCGACACCAGAUGUAGGCGCCAAUAGAAGAUGCAAAGAAUGCGAAUAAACAGGCACGUAAUUUAUGCGAAGAUCUGAAACGCAAAUGUGACCUUAACCGAAAGAACACGAGCGUGGGUACACCCUUGUUCAUAAGUUUAUUAGAACACAUGUAAAAACUUGUGUAAAUUUAAAUUACUAAGAAAUUCCUGACACGUGCAAAAAUUAUCUCAUUUGAAACGUUGGACUAUAAAGAAUCUAUGGUUUGGAAUUUCAGAAUGAAAAAUAAUUUUAAACAGUUGAACAUCCAAACACGUAUUAGCACGUUUAUGAAAACCUACUUAGACAGAUUUGCCAAAUCAUUAAGAAGUAAGUUAUGAUCGUCGGACUAUGAAGCACUGAUAUUUUGAGACAGUAACAUCAGAAAUAGUUUCAAAUAUAAAAUAUCAAAUGAUUUCACUCGGAGAAUGAAUAAUUUGCUUGUAUAAAUAUACCAAUGCAUAGAUAUUUCGUAGUAACAUGCUCUAACCUUCGUGUUGCGCCGGUUGGAUUACUGCUACACCGGUAUCCUCCUCUAUUAGCUUUCUACGUCACGCAGCCUAUUAAUUCGACGAAAUCGACGAACGAAAUUGAAAUUUGAUUAACACUAGUGUCGCUUAACCUCACGUCAAACUUGUACCGACCUCCGGACACUUCGAUGACCGAGGAUGCUACUGAUCACUCGCUAAUGUCAAUAAGAGAAAUGUAAGACAAAGCCGAAUGUGACGAACAAUACAAGUGUCUUUCAUAUAAACUACAUCGUAAUCCGAUUAUGUUCUAUGAAGUUGCUAUACUUGGCUAUUGGUGUCAGUUAUACUCGCGUACAUAUUUACCGUGUCUUAAGUUUGUACCACGAGUUUAUUCAUGUGGUUGUAGUAUUUGCCGUGAGAUAAAACCUUUAAUUUGGGACGAUGACGCGCGCGCACGCGUUUGUGUGUGUGUUUGAGCAUAUUCGA
Molecule: unclassified non-coding RNA, 1343 nt
Filed under: Bombus terrestris (buff-tailed bumblebee)
Lineage: Eukaryota; Metazoa; Arthropoda; Insecta; Hymenoptera; Apidae
Description: misc RNA ENSBTSG00005028977.1
Source: RNAcentral